GUAGCGGCGAGCGAAACGGGAAAAGCCCAAACCAAGAUGCUUGCAUCUUGGGGUUGUAGGACUCCGAUAUGGUAGUCCAACCAGGUAGUCGAAUGACUUGGAAAAGUCAGUCAAAGAGGGUAAAAACCCCGUAGACGAAAUGUGGUUGACACCUAGGAGGAUCCUGAGUACGGCGGAACACGAGGAACUCCGUCGGAAUCCGGAAGGACCAUCUCCCAAGGCUAAAUACUCCCUAGUGACCGAUAGUGAACCAGUACCGUGAGGGAAAGGUGAAAAGCACCCCGGAAGGGGAGUGAAAUAGAUCCUGAAACCGUGUGCCUACAACAAGUUAGAGCCCGUUAGUGGGUGAUAGCGUGCCUUUUGUAGAGUGAACCGGCGAGUUACGAUAGCAUGCGAGGUUAAGUUGAAGAGACGGAGCCGUGGCGAAAGCGAGUCUGAAUAGGGCGAAUGAGUAUGUUGUCGUAGACCCGAAACCAUGUGAUCUACCCAUGUCCAGGUUGAAGGUGCGGUAAAACGCACUGGAGGACCGAGCCCACGUACGUUGGAAAGUGCGGGGAUGAGGUGUGGGUAGCGGAGAAAUCCCAAACGAACUUGGGGAUAGC
Molecule: ribosomal RNA, 602 nt
Filed under: uncultured Enterococcus sp.
Lineage: Bacteria; Bacillati; Bacillota; Bacilli; Lactobacillales; Enterococcaceae
Description: bacterial LSU rRNA
Rfam family: Bacterial large subunit ribosomal RNA
Source: RNAcentral